ACUGCUCUGAAAAUGUCUCCGCUUGAGUAUUCCACAUGCACAAGAAAUUUAUCACCUCUUUCCACUUGCCAGAAAGAUUAAUUAUUACUCAAAUCUCUUGAAUUUCUCUCAAUAAAACUGGCAUCUAAGGGCUUGGUAUGCUAUCAAUGUGCUUUAAAGUAAGUCUAUAAUAGAGAUUAGUACCUCUUGUGCAAUAUUGUAUGCAUUGCAUUUUGUUACAUUUAUUAUACAAAUUGAAAUGAAUAAUAAUAUGCAGUUUAACAUCCCAUGAAUAUUUUUUUAGUAUUCUUCAGCGGUAGUUAAUAUGCUAACCAACUUUACUGAAAGGCAUACAGAUGUGGAAGGAGUCUAUCUGGGGACUUUAAUUAUCACCUUGUCAAAUUCAAAUUAUUAUCUUGUUCUCUUGGUUAAUAAAUGAAGACAGGAAAGAAAAAGAAAAGACAAAGAAACGGAAACACUGCCCACCACAGUCAUUAUUCUGGAGGAGUUGCAGGAUAUUCAACUUGUUUGGAAAUGGAGGGUCCAGGGGCAUGGGUCAAGGGCAGAGGCAUCUCAGCUUUCAUCCUGGGACUUCAGGACACAUUCUGGGUCAUGAUGAAGGGUAAGCCUGCCAGGCAUUAAGUGUCUGAGUUCUGAGGAUCUUGUUCACCAGAGGGGCAGACAGUUCAUGGCUGCUGUUCUUUCUAAUAUAGUCAUUAGAAAAUGAGUCAUAAAGCCAUAAUUUGUAAAUGUACAUUAGAUUUAUUUUAUCCAUUCCCAUUAAUGAACAAAGUUUUUUACUACCAUGCUUUAUGGUUCAUUUAUUUAGCUUAAUGUCCUCAUUUGCAGAGAUUUGUUUUUAAUCACUGAGAAGAUUAAAGUCAAAACUUAAAUUAAAAAUGUAAUUUUUUAUAAUCUGCUUCAUUGUUAAAAGUACAUACAGUGUUCCUUUAUGCGUGCUGAUAAUUAUGCAUUGUACUAUUCUAUGUGUAGACACCCUAUAGUCUCAAUUAAAUGUUAUAACUACUUAAUGAAAGGCAACAGGGAUUUCUCAGUCAGUAAUUAUAACAAUAACCCAGAAUCAAAACUCUCGAUCCAUAUUCAGACUGCAUAAUAAGGUAAGAAAUGAAAUGGUUGGCCAUUAUGUCUCUAAGAGACCUUUUUGUGACAGAAGACUAAUUGUGACAUGAUGAUAAUUUCCCAUAGAUGAUGCUGUAAAAGUAUGAAGUCAGUCCCUGCCCCUCAUACAAUAUUUCAUUUUUCAGAUUCAUCAAACCACUGUUUUGUGGUGGUAGGGGGAAUGCUUCCAAUGUGAAAGAGUGGAGCACACCAUUUAAAAGAAGGGUAGCGAUGGAGGGAAAAGAAAUUUCUGAAAUGAUCACAGAAAUAACAUGCAUUCAAGAAACAACAAAGGAGAAAAACAAUGAAAGUGGGAGUGCAUAUUUUACUGCAGCCCGAGGAUUUCAGUAGCUGAUGCAUUCACAGAAAGUCUCUUACAGUCUUACUGUCUUUUACUACAAUGCAAAUUUAUUCUGCCUGAGUAAUAACUACCACAAUACUGUCAUUCCCCAAUUACGUUGAUAUAGUCAGUCACACACUGCUGAAAUAAAGAGUCAGAAGCAGGAAAUAUGAUGUUUUUU
Molecule: long non-coding RNA, 1619 nt
Organism: Chrysemys picta bellii (western painted turtle)
Lineage: Eukaryota; Metazoa; Chordata; Testudines; Emydidae
Source: Ensembl